UAGGGAAUCUUCCACAAUGGACGCAAGUCUGAUGGAGCAACGCCGUGUGAGUGAAGAAGGCUUUCGGGUCGUAAAACUCUGUUAUUGAAGAAGAACGUGUGUGACAGUAACUGGUCAUGCAGUGACGGUAUUCAAUCAGAAAGUCACGGCUAACUACGUGCCAGCAGCCGCGGUAAUACGUAGGUGGCAAGCGUUGUCCGGAUUUAUUGGGCGUAAAGCGAGUGCAGGCGGUCUUUUAAGUCUGAUGUGAAAGCCUUCGGCUUAACCGAAGAAGGGCAUCAGAAACUGGGAGACUUGAGUGCAGAAGAGGAGAGUGGAACUCCAUGUGUAGCGGUGAAAUGCGUAGAUAUAUGGAAGAACACCAGUGGCGAAGGCGGCUCUCUGGUCUGUAACUGACGCUGAGGCUCGAAAGCGUGGGUAGCAAACAGGAUUAGAUA
RNAcentral lists this ribosomal RNA (437 nucleotides) under uncultured bacterium. Its description in RNAcentral is "partial 16S ribosomal RNA". It matches the Rfam family "Bacterial small subunit ribosomal RNA", at positions 355 to 784 of the family's 1533-position model. The record is from RNAcentral.